GUGGGGAAUAUUGGACAAUGGGCGCAAGCCUGAUCCAGCCAUGCCGCGUGAGUGAUGAAGGCCUUAGGGUUGUAAAGCUCUUUCAGUGGGGACGAUAAUGACGGUACCCACAGAAGAAGCCCCGGCUAACUUCGUGCCAGCAGCCGCGGUAAUACGAAGGGGGCUAGCGUUGUUCGGAUUUACUGGGCGUAAAGCGCACGUAGGCGGAUCGUUAAGUCGGGGGUGAAAUCCUGGAGCUCAACUCCAGAACUGCCUUCGAUACUGGCGAUCUUGAGUCCGGAAGAGGUGAGUGGAACUCCUAGUGUAAAGGUGGAAUUCGUAGAUAUUAGGAAGAACACCAGUGGCGAAGGCGGCUCACUGGUCCGGUACUGACGCUGAGGUGCGAAAGCGUGGGGAGCAAACAGGAUUAGAAACCCGAGUAGUCC
RNAcentral lists this ribosomal RNA (425 nucleotides) under uncultured bacterium. RNAcentral's name for it is "partial 16S ribosomal RNA". It matches the Rfam family "Bacterial small subunit ribosomal RNA", at positions 354 to 796 of the family's 1533-position model. The record is from RNAcentral.